RNAcentral lists this ribosomal RNA (390 nucleotides) under uncultured bacterium. Its description in RNAcentral is "bacterial SSU rRNA". It matches the Rfam family "Bacterial small subunit ribosomal RNA", at positions 28 to 416 of the family's 1533-position model. The record is from RNAcentral.
GACGAACGUUGGCGGCGUGCCUAAUACAUGCAAGUCAACUGAAAUACCGGUAGCAAUACUGGUAUGGAGGUGGCGCACGGGUGAGUAACACGUAGGUAAUCUGCCUUCAGGUCUGACAUAACCCAUCGAAAGGUGAGCUAAUAUCAGAUGAUGCAGCGGCUUGACAUCAAGACAGUUGUUAAAGCUUCGGCGCCUGAAGAUGAGCCNGCGUCUGAUUAGCUAGUUGGCGGGGUAACGGCCCACCAAGGCUGCGAUCAGUAGCUGGUCUGAGAGGAUGAUCAGUCACACUGGAACUGAGACACGGUCCAGACUCCGUACGGGAGCAGCAGUAAGAAUAUUGCUCAAUGGCCGAAAGGCUGAAGCAGCAACGCCGCGUGAGGGAUGAAGGGU